AACCAUUCUCACCUGCGGCUAGACCUGCGGAAGGAUCAUUAUCGAGGGGCUCACGCCCCGUCGAGAUAGGACCCUUGCCUUUUUUCGAGCACCCAUUUUUCCUCGGCAGGCUCGCCUGCCAAUGGGGACCUUUAAAAACCUUUGUAAAAACCCGUCCUAUUGUCUGAAUUAAAAACAAAUAAUCAAAACUUUUAACAAUGGAUCU
Molecule: unclassified non-coding RNA, 205 nt
Filed under: soil metagenome
Description: partial contains 5.8S ribosomal RNA, internal transcribed spacer 2, and large subunit ribosomal RNA
Source: RNAcentral